This 367-nucleotide long non-coding RNA is filed under the name Parus major (Great Tit). RNAcentral's name for it is "lncRNA (ENSPMJG00000008524.1)". The record is from RNAcentral. Lineage: Eukaryota; Metazoa; Chordata; Aves; Passeriformes; Paridae.
UGAGUCAGCAGAUAUUUAUAUACUGUGCUUGAUUUUAGCUAAGUAACAUGUACAUUUUCCAGGUACAAUGUCAUAAUUUCUGCCACAGUGGAAACUUGACGGACCCUUGCAGUUCUAUUUAAAAUCAUGAGGGGAUCAUCCUCCUUUGUGACAGAGCAAAGAAAUAGAAUUUUCGUGUCAUGCUGCAUUUGGGACAAAAUCUCAUGCAAGAUGGAUCAAAAUUGGGAAAAGGAAAGGUGAAAAGCGUUUUAGAAAGGAAGAUGCACCCAGGCACGUCAAUCCGAACAAAUAAAAAAAUUCCCAUGGGAAAGAUCACGUAAGUAUAUGGAAAAAUAAAUCUAAGUCAAAACCUGUAAAAAUGUUAUCA